RNAcentral lists this ribosomal RNA (450 nucleotides) under uncultured bacterium. RNAcentral's name for it is "bacterial SSU rRNA". It matches the Rfam family "Bacterial small subunit ribosomal RNA", at positions 354 to 796 of the family's 1533-position model. The record is from RNAcentral.
GUGGGGAAUAUUGGACAAUGGGCGAAAGCCUGAUCCAGCCAUGCCGCGUGUGUGAAGAAGGUCUUCGGAUUGUAAAGCACUUUAAGUUGGGAGGAAGGGCAGUAAGUUAAUACCUUGCUGUUUUGACGUUACCGACAGAAUAAGCACCGGCUAACUUCGUGCCAGCAGCCGCGGUAAUACGAAGGGUGCAAGCGUUAAUCGGAAUUACUGGGCGUAAAGCGCGCGUAGGUGGUUUUGUAAGUUGGAGGUGAAAUCCCCGGGCUCAACCUGGGAACUGCCUCCAAAACUGCAUGACUAGAGUACGGUAGAGGGUAGUGGAAAUUCCUGUGUAGCGGUGAAAUGCGUAGAUAUAGGAAGGAACACCAGUGGCGAAGGCGACUACCUGGACUGAUACUGACACUGAGGUGCGAAAGCGUGGGGAGCAAACAGGAUUAGAUACCCGGGUAGUCC